AACUCAUGAUCCAACCUUGAACAAUGGCAUUACAGCCAUCCCAUUGAUGCCCUAACUCUGUUCCGAAAUCAUCCCUAUUCAAGCUGCCAUCAACAAUUCCAAGCUUGUUCUUCCCAAGCAAUUGAAUACGCAUGGCCCUGCUCCAAAUUGAGUAAUUAUCGGAUCCAGUUAGCUGCAUCGGAAUGAUAGAUGUGCCAGUGGUGUCAGAAGGGUGC
Molecule: long non-coding RNA, 215 nt
Filed under: Solanum tuberosum (potato)
Lineage: Eukaryota; Viridiplantae; Streptophyta; Magnoliopsida; Solanales; Solanaceae
Description: long non-coding RNA (STUB_LNC011779)
Source: RNAcentral